GUGCUUCCACUGGAGACGUGAAUUUGGUUAGGCAGGGGAACGGGGAACGUCAGGCAGGUAACAGGUAGCAGGUAACAGGUAACAGGU
Molecule: non-coding RNA, 87 nt
Filed under: Micromonas pusilla
Lineage: Eukaryota; Viridiplantae; Chlorophyta; Mamiellophyceae; Mamiellales; Mamiellaceae
Source: RNAcentral